This 708-nucleotide ribosomal RNA is filed under the name Ficobolus jaliscoi. RNAcentral's name for it is "eukaryotic LSU rRNA". It matches the Rfam family "Eukaryotic large subunit ribosomal RNA", at positions 395 to 825 of the family's 3401-position model. Lineage: Eukaryota; Metazoa; Arthropoda; Insecta; Hymenoptera; Braconidae. The record is from RNAcentral.
GUACGUGAACCGUUCAGGUGUAAACCUGAGAAACCUAAAAGAUCGAAUGAGGAGAUUCAUCGUCAACUCAUUUUGUAUAUAUACGAGUUAUGAUAUAUAAAUUACUCUUGAGUAUUAUUUUUGUAUACGUACUAGUAUAUUUAUUUGCAAAAUGUUGUCGGCGUGCACUUCUCCUCUAGUAGGACAUCGUGACCCGUUUGGUGUCGGUCUACGACCAAAGAUGUUAGACUUUAAUAUUAUUUAUAUAAUAUUAAAGACUCUUUGUGUUAUUCUGAUCGUCUGCCUAGCGGUAUUCGUACGGUAUUUAGCCGCAUUAUAAUAUUAUGCGUUCAUAUCCGUCACAAGCUAAACUAAUUUUUAGUAAUUAUGGAUUAAUGCCAUCACUAAAAUUAGUCAGUUGUUAGUUGUACGGAAUUCUAGAACUGGCUAUAAAAAAAUAUAUAUAUACCGGUCAACGAUGCUAUUGCUUUGGGUACUUUCAGGACCCGUCUUGAAACACGGACCAAGGAGUCUAACAUGUACGCAAGUCAUUGGGAUUUAUUUAAAAAUUAAACCUAAAGGCGUAAUGAAAGUAAAGAUUAACUUUUUGUUGAUUGAAGGAGGAUAAGUUAUAUUAUAAGAAAUAUAUAAUUUCGCACUCCUGGGGCGUCUCAUUCUCAUUGUGAGAAGAGGUGCACCUAGAGCGUACACGUUGGGACCCGAAAGAUG